AUUCACACUACUCUGGCUACCAAGUAAUCUCUGCUCUGACCACUGAGCUGAGCCUAAUGAGUCAAAUGUUUAUGUAUUGUUGUUCUUGAGCGUUAUAAGAAUUUAAUAUGAGUUUUGAAGAGUUUUCAUUAAAGAAGUAUGGAGUUUGAGUAUGUUUGUUUGUAUGUUGAGUGUGGAGUAGUUUUGCAACUUUUUUGUACCUAUUGUUGUCGAAGGGCAGCCCUGAGAGUCACCUUUUUCAGUAGCUUCUCCUAAUAUUUUGAUUUCCAAAUUUUUAUGGUAAAUACUUUAGUGUGUCAGCCAACUACCCACCAAAUUUCUGAAGUGAAACUGGUUAAGUUUUUAAUUUGAGAAAAUGCAUAAUGAUGUUUGUAUGUGAUAUGUAUAUGUGUUUCUACGUGCCUUAUGUGUCUAUGUAUGUCUAUGUGCUUGAUUGUUAUUAGUCUAGCCCUACUUGAGUGACAAGUCGAGAGUAGGAUUUGUGAUUUCUUAGGAUAUAUGUAUAUAUUGAGGAGAUUGAGAUAGUUGGAGUAUAUAGAAGAUGAGUGAUGGGAUAGCAUUAAGAUAGGAAUGAUAUACAUAGUAAGGGAGUUCCUGACUAGUUUUAUUUAUCUUAUCUCAUGAACCACUCCGACGUUGUGACAUCUGAAGAUACGAGCAGAGGACGGAAGUAAGAUCGCCCAAGUACGACGAGAGUAAGCUAAGUUUGUCAGGAUAAGCGAGGAGGAGGAAGAUCGGUCUGGUGCUGGCGGGGACUUAUUUUGGAUGACGUUGUUUCUUUUACCGUAUUUCUAUUUCAUACGGUAGCCUUUUAAGGUUGGAUGUUUAUAUUUUGAACUUAAUCAGGAAAUACACUCUCGGCUAUAUGUCUUCAUACAUAUAGUCUGAUCACGUUUUGCUGCGAGACUCUAUAAAUUAUAAACCUUUGUAAAUUUUUAACUAUGUCCGCUUUGUAAA
Salvia miltiorrhiza (redroot sage) is the source of this 957-nucleotide long non-coding RNA. RefSeq lists it as uncharacterized. The transcript is spliced from 2 exons. NCBI's taxonomy places the organism in Eukaryota, Viridiplantae, Streptophyta, Magnoliopsida, Lamiales, Lamiaceae. The record is from RefSeq and is a predicted model, not a curated record.